AUCGUCUUCAACCUCCUUCUCCUCCUUCACGACGAAGAACAACAACAGAGAAGCCAUGGAAGCUUCAUCAAGCUUCACGGCCAAACAACAACAACAUCAAAACUUCGUCAAAAAUUACAAAUGAGUAUAUGAUUUUGCUUGAAAUUUUGCAUAGAUCAUGAAUAUAAACUUAGAUUUUUCAAUAGAUGUUUAUAUCUCAAAAAAAAAGUUCGAAACUUUAAAACCCCCAAAAUUUUGAAAACCUACAUUUGUGCGAUUUAAGCAAAAUUAAAGGUUGUAAAAGCUUCAUAUGAUAUUCAGGAGUAAAAAGUGUUCAGAAUCUUACUGGUUUCGAGCUUUGUUUUGGUGGGUUAACACCUACACUUUUCUUUGCUAUUUUGAACUUUGAGUAAGCCCCUCUUGACGGUUUUCCUUCGUUUUUCUUGUGGGUUCAAGCUUAGGUAGGUUCUUGGAGUGAUUUGGGUGAAGAAAAUUGAAGGUUGGAAGUGGUUUUAAUGGAUUUCGAACUUGUUGGAAAAGUGAUGAAAAGAUGAGUUUUUUGGUUUUUCUCUUCUCUGUUUUUCUCCAAAAUCGCCCCCUCAUGCUCUGAAAUGUUACCUCUACUUAUACUAGAAAAUUAGGGUUUCAGGUGAAUCAAAAGACAAAAUUGAGAGUUAGAGAGAUUGUGACAUGAGGUGUUGAUGCAGUGGUUCAGUUUUUGCAGUAACACCAGAAUGGCAAAGAAAAAAAGGUCAACGAAGAAAGAGGGCAAGACUUGAACUUGGUUUAGACAUAAUUUGAAACUCAUAGCAGGAAGCAGAAC
Molecule: long non-coding RNA, 802 nt
Filed under: Trifolium pratense (red clover)
Lineage: Eukaryota; Viridiplantae; Streptophyta; Magnoliopsida; Fabales; Fabaceae
Description: long non-coding RNA (TPRA_LNC011572)
Source: RNAcentral